This 511-nucleotide unclassified non-coding RNA is filed under the name Hevea brasiliensis (rubber tree). Lineage: Eukaryota; Viridiplantae; Streptophyta; Magnoliopsida; Malpighiales; Euphorbiaceae. The record is from RNAcentral.
CUAAUUCAGAAAGUUUCUUCUCCCACUAGGGAUCGUGUGCUGCUUAAAUUUCAUUUAUUCAUUGGUAUCAUUUAGCGAAAAAGGGUGGUAGGGCAAGUGCCCACAGGAGUGCCAACAUAUUACAUAUAACCUGACAGAAUUUCAGUAAUACAUUCACAAGCCUGGCAAUAAACCCUAAUCCUCUAAACAGCUUGAACUCUUCAUGGUGUGAAAUGUUAUUAAAAAAUAUUGAACCUUCUUUUCAUAUUGCUACUAACAACAGGACAUGCUAGGGAUGCAGUCACAAAACAUGACUGACCAAAUAAUUGUUACCAGAUCGGCAGAUCCCAUCUUACAACAGGUUAUUUUAUCCAAUUAUUUGUUUCCGAGAUUCAUUCAAAAAGUACAAAUAUUUCCACUCUAGUUCCAAGAAACAGCACAUUUAGCCAACUGCAUACCAUCCCAAUAAUUGUAAUCCUCAAAGAUCAAAGCAUUAAAAAUUUAAAGUUGAAGUCAACUAGGGAAAGACUUG